This 395-nucleotide ribosomal RNA is filed under the name Thraustochytrium sp. RNAcentral describes it as "partial small subunit ribosomal RNA". It matches the Rfam family "Eukaryotic small subunit ribosomal RNA", at positions 587 to 975 of the family's 1831-position model. The record is from RNAcentral. Lineage: Eukaryota; Bigyra; Thraustochytrida; Thraustochytriidae.
AGCUCCAAUAGCGUAUAUUAAAGUUGUUGCAGUUAAAAAGCUCGUAGUUGGAUUUCUGACAGGAGCGACCGGUCUCGAAUCCUUCGUGGUUCGUGUUUACUUUGUGUCCGUCUCUAGUCAUCCUUACGGAGAACGUGUGUGUCAUUAAGUUGGCGUGCAUGGGAACCGUAUCGUUUACUGUGAAAAAAUUAGAGUGUUUAAAGCAGGCAAUCGCUGUGAAUACAUUAGCAUGGAAUAAUAAGAUAGGGCUUUGGUACUAUUUUGUUGGUUUGUAUACCAAGGUAAUGAUUAAGAGGGACAGUUGGGGGUAUUCGUAUUUAAUUGUCAGAGGUGAAAUUCUUGGAUUUAUGAAAGACGAACUACUGCGAAAGCAUUUACCAAGGAUGUUUUCAUUA